GGCGGCAUGCCUAAUACAUGCAAGUCGAACGCGCCUAGCAAUAGGCGAGUGGCGGACGGGUGAGUAACGCGUGGGAACCUGCCCUUGAGUGCGGGAUAACCGAGGGAAACUUCGGCUAAUACCGCAUGCGCCCCGGGCAACUGGGGGAAAGAUUUAUCGCUCGAGGAGGGGCCCGCGUCGGAUUAGCUAGUUGGUGGGGUAACGGCCUACCAAGGCGAUGAUCCGUAGCUGGUCUGAGAGGAUGAUCAGCCACACUGGGACUGAGACACGGCCCAGACUCCUACGGGAGGCAGCAGUAGGGAAUAUUGGACAAUGGGGGCAACCCUGAUCCAGCAAUGCCGCGUGAGUGAUGAAGGCCUUAGGGUUGUAAAGCUCUUUCGCACGCGACGAUGAUGACGGUAGCGUGAGAAGAAGCCCCGGCUAACUUCGUGCCAGCAGCCGCGGUAAUACGAAGGGGGCGAGCGUUGUUCGGAAUUACUGGGCGUAAAGGGCGCGCANGCGGCCGAUCAAGUCAGGCGUGAAAGCCCCGGGCUUAACCUGGGAAUUGCGCUUGGGACUGAUGGGCUA
This 567-nucleotide ribosomal RNA is filed under the name uncultured Alphaproteobacteria bacterium. RNAcentral's name for it is "bacterial SSU rRNA". It matches the Rfam family "Bacterial small subunit ribosomal RNA", at positions 38 to 643 of the family's 1533-position model. The record is from RNAcentral. Lineage: Bacteria; Pseudomonadati; Pseudomonadota; Alphaproteobacteria.